CUGAAUCCAUAGGUUAAUGAGGCGAACCGGGGGAACUGAAACAUCUAAGUACCCCGAGGAAAAGAAAUCAACCGAGAUUCCCCCAGUAGCGGCGAGCGAACGGGGAGGAGCCCAGAGCCUGAAUCAGCAUGUGUGUUAGUGGAAGCGUCUGGAAAGGCGCGCGAUACAGGGUGACAGCCCCGUACACAAAAGCGCAUGUGCUGUGAGCUCGAUGAGUAGGGCGGGACACGUGGUAUCCUGUCUGAAUAUGGGGGGACCAUCCUCCAAGGCUAAAUACUCCUGACUGACCGAUAGUGAACCAGUACCGUGAGGGAAAGGCGAAAAGAACCCCGGCGAGGGGAGUGAAAAAGAACCUGAAACCGUGUACGUACAAGCAGUGGGAGCACAGGUUUACCUGUGUGACUGCGUACCUUUUGUAUAAUGGGUCAGCGACUUAUAUUCUGUAGCA
RNAcentral lists this ribosomal RNA (448 nucleotides) under Salmonella enterica subsp. enterica serovar Typhimurium. RNAcentral's name for it is "partial 23S ribosomal RNA". It matches the Rfam family "Bacterial large subunit ribosomal RNA", at positions 158 to 642 of the family's 2925-position model. Lineage: Bacteria; Pseudomonadati; Pseudomonadota; Gammaproteobacteria; Enterobacterales; Enterobacteriaceae. The record is from RNAcentral.